Molecule: long non-coding RNA, 900 nt
Filed under: Capra hircus (goat)
Lineage: Eukaryota; Metazoa; Chordata; Mammalia; Artiodactyla; Bovidae
Description: lncRNA (ENSCHIG00000000717.1)
Source: RNAcentral
CUGCUGAAGUAAAGUAUGGUCAGGGUUUCAUGAAAACUCCAGGAAGGAGAUUCUGCCUCUUUCAGGAGGAAAAGAUAUCAGUGUUGUUAAGAUUUGAGUCAGUAUUUUUAAAAAUUAGAAAAUUGGCCUGACCGCUAAGGGCAUAAACAUGGAUUCAGCAAGUAACUCAGGAUCAUUCUGGAAGAAAAACACCCGGUUGGCCUUUGACCCACUGUGCCAAAUUAUUUCAUCUACUGAUAAAACCUAGAGAUUUGAGGACCCUGGCUAUCAGGCAGCUCUUCAGUGGAGAGAGAGUAGAGGGCUUUGCUGGUGUCCUCAGAGCACAGAGGUUGGGCUGUGAGCACACUGAGGGCUUGGCCCUGGUGAGAGAUUCGUUUUUGAGUGUGUAGUAGUAAAUGAAAGUGGAGUCUGGCUGCUCACCACUCAAAAGUCAACAAAGAGGCAAGAUUGGUGGAAAGGAAAGUUUGCUUUAUUUCAGAUGCUAGCAUGGGGAUGGGGGGCAGACUCCUGUCCAAAAGCUGACUCCCUUCACACUUUGUCAGUCAGCAAGAGCUUUUAUAGAUGGGGAGAGGGGGCGACAUGCAGAAAUAGCACAGUCAGCUCAGAUAGUCAUCUUGAAAUUCGUCAUCGGUGGUCCAACAAGCAUCACCUUGAUUGUUGCUUGAUCCCUGGAUACCAUAUUUGAGAUGGUCGAAUGUCACAGUUAAGACCGCAUGCAGGCUUUUGGAUACAGAUGCUGCUGCUGCUAAGUCGCUUCAGUCGUGUCCGACUCUGGGCAACCCCAUAGACGAAAGCCCACCAGAUUCCCCCGUCCCUGGGAUUCUCCAGGCAAGAACACUGGAGUGGGUUGCCAUUUCCUUCUCCAAUGCAUGAAAAUGAAAAGUGAAAGUGAAGUCACUC